Non-coding RNA from Dipodomys ordii (Ord's kangaroo rat), 57 nucleotides. NCBI's taxonomy places the organism in Eukaryota, Metazoa, Chordata, Mammalia, Rodentia, Heteromyidae. The record is from Rfam.
UGGCUCAGUGGUAGAGUGCUUGCUUUGCAUGCAUGAGGCCUGGGGUUUGAUUCCUCA